AUAUCCGGUAGGUAAGGCUACCACAGGGAUAUGGAUUGCUACCGCGAAGUAGUGGAGACACUAUAAGAAGGUCAGAAGGUUUGGUCGAACGCAAGGCUUAACCUAACGCAGUUACACCGCCCUGUGAUGCUAAAGCCAGUAUG
Molecule: small RNA, 143 nt
Filed under: pig gut metagenome
Description: M-box riboswitch (ykoK leader)
Rfam family: M-box riboswitch aptamer (ykoK leader)
About the family: M-box riboswitch, also know as ykoK leader is described as a metaloregulatory RNA that sense divalent metals and function as a genetic control element of genes related to divalent metal transport in bacteria.
Source: RNAcentral